UAAGCUAUUUGAAGCUGUGCACUUAUGUUUGGUCACAACUAUAAACUGCUUUCUGUGGCCAGAUCAGGCAAAAAUUGUCACUUUUGUCUGCACCUAAAAGCUGGCGUUUUCUGAGGAAUGACUCAAGUCUCAAAAGGUUGUGAACCAUUGCAUUAGAGACAAGGGUAAAUUUCAUGGAGCCAUGCUGUCAAGAAUUCUCCUGCAAGGAACUUCCUCUGCCUAGGAGAUUAUUACAAAUUGCAAGGUAGCGGAUGGCUCUCAGUGCCCAAUCACCUCCACUCACAAUCAGCAGGAUCUGACCUACCAGAUCAAUACAGUCCUCCUGAGGUGCUACAGUGAUGGGGCCACAUACUAGACAGGCAGAUAGAUUAGGCAGAACACCAAGUUGUCAUAUCCACUUACAUAUAUCAGCACAUAUCAACAUGAAGGAUUUUACUGUGAGAAACUAGAAACUUUCUUGCCAAGAAACCAGGGGAACAGUCAAAGAAGAAAGAUAUCACUGAAAGGAAACUUAAAAAUGACAUCAACUUAUCAUCAGGACAAAACACAGAACAGGCUCAAGUCUGGUCAAGAAAAUUAAGAAUGAAAGCACUAUUAAAUACAUUGUUUUAAACUUA
This is a long non-coding RNA of Gavialis gangeticus (Gharial), 617 nucleotides long. RefSeq lists it as uncharacterized. The transcript is spliced from 2 exons. The record is from RefSeq and is a predicted model, not a curated record. NCBI's taxonomy places the organism in Eukaryota, Metazoa, Chordata, Crocodylia, Gavialidae.